AGGGGCGCUGAUGCAACGGAAGCAUGCAUGACUACGGAUCAUGGUGUGUGGGUUCGAGUCCCACUCGUCCCUG
Molecule: transfer RNA, 73 nt
Filed under: Deinococcus cellulosilyticus NBRC 106333 = KACC 11606
Lineage: Bacteria; Thermotogati; Deinococcota; Deinococci; Deinococcales; Deinococcaceae
Description: tRNA-Arg
Rfam family: tRNA
About the family: Transfer RNA (tRNA) molecules are approximately 80 nucleotides in length.
Source: RNAcentral